Long non-coding RNA from Orussus abietinus, 2001 nucleotides. RefSeq lists it as uncharacterized. The record is from RefSeq and is a predicted model, not a curated record. Lineage: Eukaryota; Metazoa; Arthropoda; Insecta; Hymenoptera; Orussidae. The transcript has 2 exons.
CCGGCACUCGAAAUAGUCUGAGACUUCUCAGGCUACUAGGCUUCCCAGCCUACGGGAACACGGGAAGAAGAUUGGAUUUCAAAACAACUGUAAUCCUGCAAUCUGCCCUAAAUAUGAAGAUCGAAGAGGAGAGUGACGGAAAUGGAAGGACCCACAGAAUUUGGAACUGGGUGUUACAACUACUACUAGAGAGACGCGCCGUCGAGAACAUGUCCGACCUAAUGAGGCUUCCUCCACUUUGACGUCAGGCCCAACUCGGUUCGUUCUACUAGGAUCGUAAUUUCAACGCUUAACCCGACCAGCCACCUUCCACUUAAUUAUACUUCAAGCCACUUCUACCGAAUAGCUAAUACCGGAAGAAUUUUUUUUAUACCUCGGAGUAAAAUGGCACCUUGAUAAUUCUUGAAGGAUUACCGUACACCUUGCUGCAGGACAAGAUUCGUAGAAAAUUGAAAUUGUGAGGAUUCCGUUAAAAAGAAAUUCUGACCCCAGCGUGUUAAAAAAAAAAAAGUGAUUUUUGGAAAUCACCUUUUUACGAAGAGAAUUUAUAUCGGCUAAAUUAAUUUCGCUAAUAAUAAAAAUCAUAUUGCGACGUCUCAAUUAAGGCGAGGUGGUCCAGGAAGUCGAACAGAAGUUAAUGGCUGCUGAUCGGGCGAACGGAAAUCACCUACAGGAAGUCAAGUCCGGAAGUCGACGGACGCGCGCUAUCCGAGGGCGUCAAGAUUAAUACUUGGCAAAUCCGGGGCGGACCCUCGUCCACGCAGCGUGACCGAUGCGUGUUGCAGAAGGCGUCGACAAGGAGGUCGGUGAUGGGAGUCGAUCACGGGCCCAACAAUACUGACCGAUGCCGACCAAUCGCCUGAUGCGGUCCCGAUGACUCUUCGGCGGGAACUGUGUCGCUGGAGGCUCCGCGACAAUGUCCUGCUUCUGUUUUGCAUGUCUCUAUAGUUAGCCAGCUACACUCCCCACCUACCCGGAGCGGGAAGACAUAACCUCCGAGGGCUAGAAGUACGACCGACGAAAGUGAACGCGCGUUCACCCAGACCCUCGUCUUCUUGGUCGCGGUCGCCAUCUUGGUGGUUUCGAGCAUCUUCGCGUUCCACUCAAUUCGCUUCGUAUUUUAUUCCAUCUUGCCGCCUUCUGCGAUUCUACCAUCUUCGUCAAUUUUUUCUUCCUCUCCAAUGUUGUCCCUUGAAUCGGUGUUUUUUUUUUUUUUAUUUUGGUUGGUCUUUCCCUCCGGCACAUAUGGGCCACCCCGAUGAAACCCGAGAGGCGACGCCUAAGGAACGCAUGGAGAGACGUCGUCACCACCGUUUCAACUCGUCGUCUUGGAGGGUCCGUAUGUCAGAUGUAGGUAUGUCAGAGAAGUGACGAACGUUUUGUCUUGGACGACGAUCAACGGCCGAAGAAAUGGCCCGUGCUCAGAGGAGGAAACUCGAAAGACGAAAGUCUGCGACAACAGGCGUCGUUAAGGCGCCCGUAAACGUCAUUGAAAAUGGCAAAAAUUUCAUCUGGGAGAGAAGAAAAAUUUUUUCCUCAUCUCUCUCGAAAGCAGGGAGAUACCGAAUAGAACUUAUUGCGCAACCCAAAAUCUUCGUCGUUCAAACGAAUUACCUAUCUCGAUAAUAGACGUUGUUAUAAUUUCGUGCAUUAAGAGAAUUUACGUGCUCGACAUAACUCUCAUUUGACGGUAAUAUAUCGGAACACUGUCAUCCAUUAACACAGUCGGGUUAUUCCGGCCGAGAGAACGCUGAAUAACUACCCACUAUUCUGAACGGGAUCAAAAUCUGAGAUUAUUACUUUAUGAUUACACUUUUUAAAAAAAAUUAAUUUCCGUACGGUGAAAUUCCUUCGGGAUUGCUACAUUUCAGCUUAUUUACCGGAGAAUUGUUUUAACGGGCCGAUUUAACAGAAUUCUAUUGUAAUUUAGUUUAAUGAUAAUUUAGAGUAUCAUAAUUCACUGUAAAAAAGUAUGGUUCCAAGAAAAUUUGUCCUGUGAGA